RNAcentral lists this unclassified non-coding RNA (275 nucleotides) under air metagenome. RNAcentral's name for it is "partial contains small subunit ribosomal RNA, internal transcribed spacer 1, and 5.8S ribosomal RNA". The stretch from base 1 to 46 matches the Rfam family "Eukaryotic small subunit ribosomal RNA", at positions 1786 to 1831 of the family's 1831-position model. The record is from RNAcentral.
AAGUCGUAACAAGGUUUCCGUAGGUGAACCUGCGGAAGGAUCAUUAUCGAAUGAAACAUAGAGUUCGGCUGUAGCUGGCCUGCAAAGGCACGUGCACGCCUUUCUCUUUCAUCCACACACCCCUGUGCACCUGUGAGACGGGGGCUUUAGGUUCUCUCUAGCUAGGGAGCUUGGGCCUCCGUCUGCCGUUAUACAAACUCGUCUACUUAAUCUGAAUGUAACCGAUGUCAAAUGCAUCUAUAUACAAAGUUUCAACAACGGAUCUCUUGGCUCUC